GACGAACGCUGGCGGCGUGCUUAACACAUGCAAGUCGAACGGAAAGGCCCUGCUUUUGUGGGGUGCUCGAGUGGCGAACGGGUGAGUAACACGUGAGUAACCUGCCCUUGACUUUGGGAUAACUUCAGGAAACUGGGGCUAAUACCGGAUAGGAGCUCCUGCUGCAUGGUGGGGGUUGGAAAGUUUCGGCGGUUGGGGAUGGACUCGCGGCUUAUCAGCUUGUUGGUGGGGUAGUGGCUUACCAAGGCUUUGACGGGUAGCCGGCCUGAGAGGGUGACCGGACACAUUGGGAAUGAGAUACGGCCCAGAGUCCUACGGGAGGCAGCAGUGGGGAAUAUUGCACAAUGGGCGGAAGCCUGAUGCAGCAACGCCGCGUGCGGGAUAACGGCCUUCGGGUUGUAAACCGCGUUCGCCUGUGACGAAGCGUGAGUGACGGUAAUGGGUAAAGAAGCACCGGCUAACUACGUG
RNAcentral lists this ribosomal RNA (468 nucleotides) under uncultured bacterium. RNAcentral's name for it is "partial 16S ribosomal RNA". It matches the Rfam family "Bacterial small subunit ribosomal RNA", at positions 28 to 507 of the family's 1533-position model. The record is from RNAcentral.